RNAcentral lists this ribosomal RNA (253 nucleotides) under uncultured bacterium. Its description in RNAcentral is "partial 16S ribosomal RNA". It matches the Rfam family "Bacterial small subunit ribosomal RNA", at positions 524 to 776 of the family's 1533-position model. The record is from RNAcentral.
UACGGAGGGUGCUAGCGUUGUUCGGAAUUACUGGGCGUAAAGCGCACGUAGGCGGCUUUGUAAGUUAGAGGUGAAAGCCCGGGGCUCAACUCCGGAAUUGCCUUUAAGACUGCAUCGCUCGAAUUGUGGAGAGGUAAGUGGAAUUCCGAGUGUAGAGGUGAAAUUCGUAGAUAUUCGGAAGAACACCAGUGGCGAAGGCGACUUACUGGACACAUAUUGACGCUGAGGUGCGAAAGCGUGGGGAGCAAACAGG